CUGCUGGGGGCUCUGCUCCGGUCCUCACCCUUCGCGUGCCGGCUGGCUCUCCUCUGCAACACAAGAGACGGGCCGCGGGAGGUGAGAAGGGUGGAGCACGAAACUACAACCCUGAGCUCAAGACGUGCACCCUCCACGGACUGAGCCAGCCAGACACCCCCUUAGGAUUGCUCUUUAAGCUGAAGAAAACUGUCUCAACAGCUCCUCGUCUGUGUCCUUGAGCCCAGGCUUACCUUGAUU
Molecule: long non-coding RNA, 240 nt
Organism: Mustela erminea (ermine)
Lineage: Eukaryota; Metazoa; Chordata; Mammalia; Carnivora; Mustelidae
Exons: 3
Source: RefSeq, a predicted model, not a curated record